UCUUGACCUAAAUUUAAGCUGGAUAAUAAAAACAAUAGUUUAAAACCCAAAGAACUUGGCGGCGUUCAAACAACUCAGGGGAACCUGUCCCUUAAUUCGAUAAUCCACGAAUGCUCAUCCUGUUUUAGCCUAUACAGUCAGUGUACUGCCGUCACAAGCAUACCUUAAAAAGCUCAAGUAUGCAAUAAUGCCACACAUUUAUGUCAGGUCAAAGUGCUGCCCAUAAACAGGUGGAGAUGGGUUACACCUUCAAUCAAAACUACCAAUCAAAUUCCAAAGAAUUUAUAAAAGCUGGACUUGAUAGUAAUGAAUUUAACUUAAUAUUCAUGAACAUGAAUCUAGAACGUGCACAUAUCGCCCGUCACUCUCGUCGAAAGAUG
RNAcentral lists this ribosomal RNA (380 nucleotides) under Thalassodrilides bruneti. RNAcentral describes it as "partial 12S ribosomal RNA". It matches the Rfam family "Microsporidia small subunit ribosomal RNA", at positions 752 to 1217 of the family's 1311-position model. Lineage: Eukaryota; Metazoa; Annelida; Clitellata; Tubificida; Naididae. The record is from RNAcentral.